UACGGAGGGGGCUAGCGUUGUUCGGAAUUACUGGGCGUAAAGCGCACGUAGGCGGCUUUGCAAGUUAGAGGUGAAAGCCCGGGGCUCAACUCCGGAAUUGCCUUUAAAACUGCAUCGCUAGAAUUGUGGAGAGGUAAGUGGAAUUCCGAGUGUAGAGGUGAAAUUCGUAGAUAUUCGGAAGAACACCAGUGGCGAAGGCGACUUACUGGACACAUAUUGACGCUGAGGUGCGAAAGCGUGGGGAGCGAACGGG
Molecule: ribosomal RNA, 253 nt
Filed under: uncultured bacterium
Lineage: Bacteria
Description: partial 16S ribosomal RNA
Rfam family: Bacterial small subunit ribosomal RNA
Source: RNAcentral